UACAGGGGGGGCAAGCGUUGUUCGGAAUUACUGGGCGUAAAGGGCCAGUAGGCGGCCAACUAAGUCCGACGUGAAAUCCCCAGGCUUAACCUGGGAACUGCGUCGGAUACUGGAUGGCUUGAAUUCGGGAGAGGGAUGCAGAAUUCCAGGUGUAGCGGUGAAAUGCGUAGAUAUCUGGAGGAAUACCGGUGGCGAAGGCGGCAUCCUGGACCGAGACUGACGCUGAGGCGCGAAAGCGUGGGGAGCAAACAGG
Molecule: ribosomal RNA, 253 nt
Filed under: uncultured bacterium
Lineage: Bacteria
Description: partial 16S ribosomal RNA
Rfam family: Bacterial small subunit ribosomal RNA
Source: RNAcentral